AUUUGAGUAGUUUAAUCAAAAUAUUGGUUUGUGGCACCAAAGAAACAGCUAGUUUGUCUUAAAUC
Molecule: transfer RNA, 65 nt
Filed under: Sagmariasus verreauxi (green rock lobster)
Lineage: Eukaryota; Metazoa; Arthropoda; Malacostraca; Decapoda; Palinuridae
Description: tRNA-His
Source: RNAcentral